AUUGAACGCUGGCGGCAGGCCUAACACAUGCAAGUCGAACGAGUGGCGGACGGGUGAGUAAUGUCUGGGAAAAUGCCUGAUGGAGGGGGAUAAGUACUGGAAACGGUAGCUAAUACCGCAUACCAUCAGAUGUGCCCAGAUGGGAGUAGCUUGUUGGUGAGGUAACGGCACACCAAGGCGACGAUCCCUAGCUGGUCUGAGAGGAUGACCAGCCACACUGGAGCUUAGACACGGUCCAGACUCCUACGGGAGGCAGCAGUGGGGAAUAUUGCACAAUGGCCGCAAGCCUGAUGCAGCCAUGCCGCGUGUAUGAAGAAGGCCUUCGGGUUGUAAAGUACUUUCAGCGGGGAGGCGUUACCCGCACAAGAAGCACCGGCUAACUCCGUGCCAGCAGCCGCGGUAAUUC
Molecule: ribosomal RNA, 406 nt
Filed under: uncultured bacterium
Lineage: Bacteria
Description: partial 16S ribosomal RNA
Rfam family: Bacterial small subunit ribosomal RNA
Source: RNAcentral